AAGUCGAACGGAAAGGCCCCGCUUUUGUGGGGUGCUCGAGUGGCGAACGGGUGAGUAACACGUGAGUAACCUGCCCUUGACUUUGGGAUAACUUCAGGAAACUGGGGCUAAUACCGGAUAGGAGCUCCUGCUGCAUGGUGGGGGUUGGAAAGUUUCGGCGGUUGGGGAUGGACUCGCGGCUUAUCAGCUUGUUGGUGGGGUAGUGGCUUACCAAGGCUUUGACGGGUAGCCGGCCUGAGAGGGUGACCGGCCACAUUGGGACUGAGAUACGGCCCAGACUCCUACGGGAGGCAGCAGUGGGGAAUAUUGCACAAUGGGCGGAAGCCUGAUGCAGCAACGCCGCGUGCGGGAUGACGGCCUUCGGGUUGUAAACCGCUUUCGCCUGUGACGAAGCGUGAGUGACGGUAAUGGGUAAAGAAGCACCGGCUAACUACGUGCCAGCAGCCGCGGUGAUACGUAGGGUGCGAGCGUUGUCCGGAUUUAUUGGGCGUAAAGGGCUCGUAGGUGGUUGAUCGCGUCGGAAGUGUAAUCUUGGGGCUUAACCCUGAGCGUGCUUUCGAUACGGGUUGACUUGAGGAAGGUAGGGGAGAAUGGAAUUCCUGGUGGAGCGGUGGAAUGCGCAGAUAUCAGGAGGAACACCAGUGGCGAAGGCGGUUCUCUGGGCCUUUCCUGACGCUGAGGAGCGAAAGCGUGGGGAGCGAACAGG
Molecule: ribosomal RNA, 706 nt
Filed under: uncultured Actinomycetales bacterium
Lineage: Bacteria; Bacillati; Actinomycetota; Actinomycetes; Actinomycetales
Description: bacterial SSU rRNA
Rfam family: Bacterial small subunit ribosomal RNA
Source: RNAcentral